RNAcentral lists this long non-coding RNA (243 nucleotides) under Lathyrus oleraceus (garden pea). Its description in RNAcentral is "Pisum sativum (pea) long non-coding RNA (PSAT_LNC028510)". Lineage: Eukaryota; Viridiplantae; Streptophyta; Magnoliopsida; Fabales; Fabaceae. The record is from RNAcentral.
UUGCAUUGCAUCUCCAUGAAUUUUUGUUCUCAUACCUAAAAAACGAAGGAAAAAUAUUUUUGCAUACCCAUGCAUUUGCAUACAUACGCAUACAUUUGCAUACCCUUUCCGCUUUCGACCUUCCUUCAACUAUCUAGCUAACAAACUUCCUGAAACUCACGAACGAACUCGAAGGACGUCCCAAGAAACCAUAUAGGGACUCAAGAAGGACAAGUACCAUUUGAAAGAGAAGGUAACCCUUUU